RNAcentral lists this long non-coding RNA (713 nucleotides) under Hordeum vulgare. RNAcentral describes it as "long non-coding RNA (HVUL_LNC017277)". Lineage: Eukaryota; Viridiplantae; Streptophyta; Magnoliopsida; Poales; Poaceae. The record is from RNAcentral.
UUCCCUAUCACCAAUUGCUACCAGAAAAAAUUGCAAGGAAAACGAGGUUAUAUAAAGCUACUAAUCAAGUGUGCCAUUUAUGCUCUGCAGUCAUGCAUUGAAGUUCAACACCUUCAUAGAAAGUAUUAAACAAUACAGUCCAAACAAAAUAUAACGAAAGGGAGGUUAUAGCUUGAGAUUAGGAGACAUCAGAAAGGGGAAAUCAGAAAGCAAGCACUUAGUAUUGAUGGGACUGACAGUGACAUCCACUGAAUAACCAUGUCGUCCUGUGCAUCCUGUGGUAAUAAGUCAUGGGGUGCUUGAGAGCCGUUGCGACGCAAUCGAACUAGUUAGGAAUAGUCGCCUUCUUUGGCGACAUGUUCUCAUGUGCAUCCACUGGUAACUCAGGGGGUCAUCCAGUCCCUCAACUUCUGGAGGAGAGAAUAGGUGCUAUUCCACAUUGAGCAUACUCGUCACCACAUUGGUAGGACAGAUACCACGUAGCAAUGUAGUGGAGGAGAUCGUGGAUGCUAGUCAGUGAGGAAAAACAUCAUUUGUGCCACCUGUGCGACCCGGUGUGCAUGGUAGCUACUCAUUCAGCGGUACAAAAAAAUAAAGAGUUCGAUUUUGACAUUUCUUACACCAAUAAUCCAUUUAGCGAGGUUUCCUUCGUUUUAUCUAAUUUAGCACAAGUUUUAUCAUAAUUUACCCUGUUUAAAAUUGUGUGGCCAUAU